AUUGAACGCUGGCGGCAUGCCUUACACAUGCAAGUCGAACGGCAGCACGGGAGCAAUCCUGGUGGCGAGUGGCGAACGGGUGAGUAAUAUAUCGGAACGUGCCCAGUCGUGGGGGAUAACGUAGCGAAAGCUACGCUAAUACCGCAUACGAUCUAUGGAUGAAAGCGGGGGAUCGCAAGACCUCGCGCGAUUGGAGCGGCCGAUAUCAGAUUAGGUAGUUGGUGAGGUAAAGGCUCACCAAGCCGACGAUCUGUAGCUGGUCUGAGAGGACGACCAGCCACACUGGGACUGAGACACGGCCCAGACUCCUACGGGAGGCAGCAGUGGGGGAAUUUUGGGACAAUGGGCGCAAGCCUGAUCCAGCAAUGCCGCGUGCAGGAUGAAGGCCU
Molecule: ribosomal RNA, 389 nt
Filed under: uncultured bacterium
Lineage: Bacteria
Description: bacterial SSU rRNA
Rfam family: Bacterial small subunit ribosomal RNA
Source: RNAcentral